RNAcentral lists this ribosomal RNA (404 nucleotides) under Fusobacteriota bacterium. RNAcentral describes it as "Fusobacteria bacterium partial 16S ribosomal RNA". It matches the Rfam family "Bacterial small subunit ribosomal RNA", at positions 355 to 776 of the family's 1533-position model. The record is from RNAcentral. Lineage: Bacteria; Fusobacteriati; Fusobacteriota.
UGGGGAAUAUUGCACAAUGGAGGGAACUCUGAUGCAGCGACGCCGCGUGAGUGAUGAAGGAAUUCGUUUCGUAAAACUCUGUUCUAUGGGAAGAAAAGGACUGUACCAUAGGAGAAAGCUCCGGCUAAAUACGUGCCAGCAGCCGCGGUAAUACGUAUGGAGCGAGCGUUGUCCGGAUUAAUUGGGCGUAAAGGGUUCGUAGGCGGCUUUACAAGUUGGAUGUGAAAUAUUGUGGCUCAACCACAAACGUGCAUCCAAAACUGCAAAGCUUGAGUUAAUGAGAGGUAAGUGGAAUUCCUGGUGUAGCGAUAGAAUGCGUAGAUAUCAGGAGGAAUACCGGUGGCGAAGGCGACUUACUGGACUUAAACUGACGCUCAGGCACGAAAGCGUGGGGAGCAAACAGG